RNAcentral lists this long non-coding RNA (229 nucleotides) under Gossypium barbadense (sea-island cotton). Its description in RNAcentral is "long non-coding RNA (GBAR_LNC007084)". The record is from RNAcentral. Lineage: Eukaryota; Viridiplantae; Streptophyta; Magnoliopsida; Malvales; Malvaceae.
CUUCAUAGACCACCCACUUAUUUCCGCUACGAUUGUAGGACGAAAUAAAAGUGCAGAGCAUAUCGAAGUCCCAAAUAAAUCACUUAUUGGCGGUCACGAUUUUUGAAGUUCGGUAGGCCCAUACUUACUCUCAAGCUAACUGGUCGCUACUCCUUCAGAAAUAAGGAAUCAGCAAGGAAGGAUAGGACACAGAAUAAGGACCUAAAGUUGUUUGUCCGAUGAGACCGAG